This 419-nucleotide ribosomal RNA is filed under the name bacterium. RNAcentral's name for it is "partial 16S ribosomal RNA". It matches the Rfam family "Bacterial small subunit ribosomal RNA", at positions 355 to 776 of the family's 1533-position model. The record is from RNAcentral.
UGGGGGAUAUUGCACAAUGGGCGCAAGCCUGAUGCAGCGACGCCGCGUGGGGGAUGAAGGCCUUCGGGUUGUAAACUUCUUUUGCUCUGAACAAGGCGCACCAUGGGGUGUGGUGAGUGUAGGGGUUGAUUAGCGCCGGCUAACUACGUGCCAGCAGCCGCGGUAAUACGUAGGGCGCGAGCGUUGUCCGGAAUUAUUGGGCGUAAAGGGCUUGUAGGUGGCUGGUUGCGUCUGUCGUGAAAGCUCAUGGCUUAACUGUGGGUUUGCGGUGGGUACGGGCUGGCUUGAGUGCAGUAGGGGAGGCUGGAAUUCCUGGUGUAGCGGUGGAAUGCGCAGCUAUCAGGAGGAAUACCGGUGGCGAAGGCGGGUCUCUGGGCUGUUACUGACACUGAGGAGCGAAAGCAUGGGGAGCGAACAGG